Long non-coding RNA from Stegostoma tigrinum, 2931 nucleotides. RefSeq lists it as uncharacterized. The record is from RefSeq and is a predicted model, not a curated record. The transcript has 4 exons. NCBI's taxonomy places the organism in Eukaryota, Metazoa, Chordata, Chondrichthyes, Orectolobiformes, Stegostomatidae.
CCUCAGCGACGUCACCGAUCACCUGCCCCCCACAGCUGCAACGCCGGAUGUGACGCAAUGCCUUUUUGACUGGGGUUGGUUCCAACGGUUACAUUUUGGCAAAGUUUUGCUAGAUUACGGGGUUGUGUCUUAUUCUUCAAUAAUCUGCAUUUCGUGACAAUUCAGAUUAACAAGAGUUAGGGUGAAAGUGUAUCGUAUUAAUAUGAAAAAGCGCAGAGAACUGUGGCAAUUGAGAACUGUAGAAUAUCACGGGUAUUGUUGUAGCUAUCGUGCCUGGUGUUGUCCGGAGAUGGUGACCGCUCUUUUAUCCUCAACACUUUUGCUGGCGAAGGAAUAUUGAACUCUCCGCUCAUGAAUGCGGUUUUCUCUACAUUAGGAGAGCAAAUACAGCUUGGGCGGUAUAAAAUCAUUCAUUCUGAAGGCAUUUCUGUGACCAAAACACAGUUUGAGGACAAAUGCACAAGUAAUAUCAAGAUGUACGGAAAGAGACUUUUUUAACUUACAAGAAGAAAGAGAGAAGCAAAAGUGAACAUGUGUCCAGCCUCCUCCUCAAAGGGGUCAAUAACACAGGAACCAGGAAAUGGCAGAGGAUUUGAAUAAGUACUUUGCUUCAAUGUUCCGUGUUAAGAAUGUUUGGACAAGUGGAACACACCUCUGGGCGAGGUAGGACUUGUAUGCAGACCUGCUGAUUUAGACAAAAUAACUCUACCACUACACCACAAGAAUCCUUCAAUCUAUUUAUAUUCAGGUCAUCACCAGUAGGAGUGAUGUAUCCAGCCAUAAGUGAAAAGUUGUUUGCUGUGGAUGCCUUGAUAAGAAGGUAAAGAGGAUGUAGGAGCAGCAAGUCACCCGGGAGGCCAAGGAGAACCCAUCUCGGGCAAAUGUCACAGCAGCAAGCCCCUAAGGAUACAUCGGAGCCAUGGGAGGACCAGUGCUUUGCACCACAAACUCUAUUUCCCGGGGAUGAGUGAGCCGAGGUAAGAUUUACCUUUGAAGAAAGCUAUUCAAAUCAUGCCGGAAGAAGAAACGAGAAAGAUUCAGUCAGAUUCUGAGAAGAGAAGAUCGACUACCUUGGGAAAGCAAGAUUGUGGGCCCUCUGAAGGGGCAGUUGUUAAGACAACACAAAGAGUAAGCCAAGAAGCAGAUGCUUAGAUCAAUGUCACCACUGUUGGACAAAAGGCCUCACAAGCAUAGACCAUAACAAAAAAAAUGCUAUUGUUGUAAAAUGUUCAGUUUCUGAAGAAGGGUCUGGACCCGAAACGUCAGCUUUCCUGCUCCUCUGAUGCUGCUUGGCCUGUUGUGUUCAUCAGCUCUACACCUUGUUAUUGUAAAACUGCAGAUCACUUUCAGAACGCGUGCAGAUGUAAGGAACAAUUAGAAUGGUAGAAGUACUGGUGGUCACAUGUGCAAGAAUGUCUACAUAGUAGAAAACCCACUACCAUUAAUAAAGGUAUCUACAUUAGAUUAUAAAUUUACAUUAGAAAAGAUACCAGAGUCAUUUCUAGAGAGAAAUUACUGUUUUAAACCAAUGAUUCAACCAACUCAACUUUCGUAGAGAUUGUUUAUGUCAAUAGACAUCUUGUUAAUUUUAAGCUUCAUGUAGGAACAACUGCCACCCUCCUGUCAUAUGAACUAUCUGGAGAAACUGAGGUUGAAUCCUACAAAGAUUAAACUAUAUUGUCUAGGUGAAACGAUUCCUAAGAUUAAAGGUAGGCUGCAUGUAAUACUGCAACAUACAGUGUAUGAGCAUUGAAAAUGCGUAUGUAGUUCACUAUCAUCACUCCUCACUUUUGAGUCCAGCAUGCCUUGGCCUCAACAUCCUUGCAAUAACAAUAAUUCAACUCAAGUCAAAAGAACAAACCAUUGUUGGGGAAGUAGUACAGGGCAAACUAAUAGAAAAUUUUAUUGGACUUCCUUGACUUAAAGCAGAACCCAAACAGAAGAAAGAAUCUAUUGAGAUGACAUAUGAGGGCAUGAGAGAACAGCUCCCCAUUGCCAACAGGAAAUAAAUUGCAGAGAUACUCCAGCCUAUGUCUUCUAAAGCAGAACAGUCAAUGUGAGUGACAAAGAUUGUGCUGAGUGAGCAGCAGUCUCCCAGUACAGAAGUCUGUAGAGGUGAAAACGUUUAAUUCACCAGGCAAGCAAUGAUAGAAGGCAAUCAAAAACACUCAACCUAAUCAACAAGUUGAAGUGAAAAGCUCAUAUAUUUCAAGUGAGGUGUAUCAGCACAUUGAGAGUAAAAAUUUGUUUGAACAAAGUAGAAAUGAGCUGAACAGAACUCCAUGGAAUCUAGACCAUUAUCUAUAGAUUCAGGACAUGGUCAAAAAGAAGAAAUUGCCUGGUCUGAAUCCACGACACUGCAAAAAAAUGAGCACCUGUUCUAAUUAAAAUAUAUAUUACAAGACUUAGAAAUGCAGACUACAGCAAGGAGGAAGUACUUGUUCUAACAAAGUAAUUGUCUCUCUUCAUGGAGAUUCAUGAGGUCAAUGAUCCCAUAGAUAUUGUUAUGGGACAACUAUCUGAAUUAGCAUAGGUGAGUUCGUUUGCAACAGAAAUCCAGGAGGUUAAGAAUUCUUCAGAUAAAGUAUGAACUAGUGACCACGUCGACUAGGAACAACAUCCUCCAUGAUGGAUAUCUGAGAGAUAACAGAUCCACCAAUGGAGAAAUGAUCCUCAGAGGAAAUCAAAGUCAAUUGUUCUCAAACAGAAGGUCUCCACCAUUGGGAAUGAAUAACCCAAACCAGAAUACUACAUGCUGGCAGGUGGUGUCUGAGAAUAUGUCACAUACUGUUGCCAUUAUAAUAGUGACAUAGGUAUAAAAACCACUAUCACUAUCUAAGAAAAUGUAAAGUUUUAGAUGAGAUAUGUUGACUGAAUUUUAAAAUUGUUAAAUAUUUCAUUAUUUCAGUGAUGACAAGGUGUAGAGCUGGA